AGAUUACACAGAUGAGGGAAAAAGCAAUGGACACUGGUCAGGGAACUGAAGAGAAGAUAACGAAAAUGCAAGUGGCUCAAUUCU
This is a long non-coding RNA of Xenia sp. Carnegie-2017, 84 nucleotides long. RefSeq lists it as uncharacterized. The transcript is spliced from 3 exons. NCBI's taxonomy places the organism in Eukaryota, Metazoa, Cnidaria, Anthozoa, Malacalcyonacea, Xeniidae. The record is from RefSeq and is a predicted model, not a curated record.